RNAcentral lists this RNase P RNA (376 nucleotides) under Solirubrobacterales bacterium. RNAcentral's name for it is "RNase P RNA component class A". It matches the Rfam family "Bacterial RNase P class A". Rfam says of the family: Ribonuclease P (RNase P) is a ubiquitous endoribonuclease, found in archaea, bacteria and eukarya as well as chloroplasts and mitochondria. Its best characterised activity is the generation of mature 5'-ends of tRNAs by cleaving the 5'-leader elements of precursor-tRNAs. Lineage: Bacteria; Bacillati; Actinomycetota; Thermoleophilia; Solirubrobacterales. The record is from RNAcentral.
UGAGUCGGCCAGGCGGCCGCGUGCCGGCCCGUUCGCGGUGACCGGUCCGAGGAACGUCCGGGCUCCACAGGGCAGGGUGCUGGGUAACGCCCAGUCGGGGUGACCCGCAGGAAAGUGCCACAGAGAACAGACCGCCGAUGGCGGCGCCGGCGCUUCGGUGUCGGGGCCGCACAGGCAAGGGUGAAACGGUGCGGUAAGAGCGCACCAGCGCCCGGGGUGACCCGGGCGGCUCGGUAAACCCCAUUCGGAGCAAGGCCGAACAGGGACAGGGCGGCCCGUCCGACGUCCCAGGUGGGCCGCAAAGAUGGAUGGCCACCGAUCGGGACUCCCGCAAGGGACCCGUGAACAGAAUCCCGCCUACAAGCCGGCUCACCGU